This 288-nucleotide ribosomal RNA is filed under the name Nitrospirota bacterium. RNAcentral describes it as "Nitrospirae bacterium (marine metagenome) partial 16S ribosomal RNA". It matches the Rfam family "Bacterial small subunit ribosomal RNA", at positions 1 to 268 of the family's 1533-position model. The record is from RNAcentral. Lineage: Bacteria; Pseudomonadati; Nitrospirota.
UCAACUGAGAGUUUGAUCCUGGCUCAGGACGAACGCUGGCGGCGUGCUUAACACAUGCAAGUCGGACGGGGUAUUUCGGUCAGCUUGCUGAUCGGGAUUACCCAGUGGCGCACGGGUGAGUAACACGUAGGUAACCUGCCCCCGGGACGGGGACAACCCUUCGAAAGGAGGGCUAAUACCGGAUAAGACCACAUAUCGGAAGAUAUGAGGGAAAAGGCUUCGAUGAAAGUCGAGGCGCCUGGGGAUGGGCCUGCGGCCUAUCAGGUAGUUGGCGGGGUAAAUGCCCAC